RNAcentral lists this ribosomal RNA (468 nucleotides) under uncultured bacterium. RNAcentral's name for it is "partial 16S ribosomal RNA". It matches the Rfam family "Bacterial small subunit ribosomal RNA", at positions 28 to 507 of the family's 1533-position model. The record is from RNAcentral.
GACGAACGCUGGCGGCGUGCUUAACACAUGCAAGUCGAACGGAAAGGCCCUGCUUUUGUGGGGUGCUCGAGUGGCGAACGGGUGAGUAACACGUGAGUAACCUGCCCUUGACUUUGGGAUAACUUCAGGAAACUGGGGUUAUAACCGGAAGGGACCUCCGCUGCCAGGGGGGGGGUGGGAAAGUUUCGGCGGUUGGGGAUGGACUCGCGGCUUAUCAGCUUGUUGGUGGGGUAGUGGCUUACCAAGGCUUUGACGGGUAGCCGGCCUGAGAGGGUGACCGGCCACAUUGGGACUGAGAUACGGCCCAGACUCCUACGGGAGGCAGCAGUGGGGAAUAUUGCACAAUGGGCGGAAGCCUGAUGCAGCAACGCCGCGUGCGGGAUGACGGCCUUCGGGUUGUAAACCGCUUUCGCCUGUGACGAAGCGUGAGUGACGGUAAUGGGUAAAGAAGCACCGGCUAACUACGUG